CUACCUUUAAGAACCUGUUUGGAGAAAUGCUAUGACUUUGGUCACCCAGAGUCACUGCAGUCCUAUAGUAUUGGGUUAUAGCAUCCUGUUGCCAGCAGCUUCUGGUCUCUUCUUGAUGACCUCCCAUCACAGAAGCAUUCUUCCCUUGGGAGCUGAGGUCUAGACUCUGCAUGUGAGGGAAAGGUUUAAUAGGUGUCUUUCUGCUCCCGACUUAACCCAACAUGCAGCUUCAUGCAUGUAAGUGACAUGAUUUCCUUCAUACUAAUGGUUGGAUUGCACUGCAUUGCAUAUAUAACCAAGUUUAUUUUAUCCAUGUGUCCUCUGGUGAACACAGGCUGAUUCCAUAACUUGGCUAUUGUGAAGAGUUCUACAAUAAACAUUUAUGCGCAGGAAAACCAGAACAGGAGGACGUCACCCAGCCAGCGGUGUAAGAUCUGAGCCAGGUACAGGAGUGCAUCCCAGCGCAGAAGGGGAACACACAGUUUGACUCUCAGUGAGUCCAGCUGAGUUCACCAGCGUUACUGUACAGCUCACAGCCACCUGCCGAAUGCUCCCUUCUGUGAAACACCAACCAACCCAGGCCAGGCAGAAAAAAAACUGAGGGUUUCCUUUAAGAAAUAUGGCUUAACUUCAUCCAGCAGCUGGUGGAAGUAAAAGCCGACACCCACAACUAUUCACCGAACUGAACUGGAAUCCAGUUGCAGAGAAGGACGAGUGAAAAGCAAAGGGGUCCAGACCAGGCUGGUGAAACCCACAGAAACAGCUGACUUGAACAUCAGGGAACUCUUGCUCCCCAGACUGAUAGCUGGGAUACCAGCAUGAGACUGAUCCAGCCCCCAGGAACAUGGGUUUCUGUGAGGAAACCUUGGAAAUCUAUGGGAUCUCCUGUAGUUGUUCAGUACUUAUCCCUAGCAUAGGUGUGGACUUUGGGAGCCCAUUCCACAUAGAGGGAUACUCCCUGAGCCAAGACACACGGGGUGGGCCUAGGCCCUAUCCCAAAGGAUGGGAUAGACUCUGAUGACACCCUAUGGAAGGCCUCACUAUCCCUGGGGAACAGAAAGGAUAUGUGACAGG
This 1074-nucleotide long non-coding RNA is filed under the name Cricetulus griseus (Chinese hamster). RNAcentral describes it as "lncRNA (ENSCGRG00015040976.1)". The record is from RNAcentral. Lineage: Eukaryota; Metazoa; Chordata; Mammalia; Rodentia; Cricetidae.